ACGCUUUUGUUUUAAAGGUAAAAUAUUAGUUUCCAAAACUUUAUGAUGAAGGUUCAAUUCCUUCAAAGCGUG
RNAcentral lists this transfer RNA (72 nucleotides) under Nephromyces sp. ex Molgula occidentalis. RNAcentral describes it as "tRNA-Trp". It matches the Rfam family "tRNA". Rfam says of the family: Transfer RNA (tRNA) molecules are approximately 80 nucleotides in length. Their secondary structure includes four short double-helical elements and three loops (D, anti-codon, and T loops). The record is from RNAcentral. Lineage: Eukaryota; Apicomplexa; Aconoidasida; Nephromycida.